AUUGAACGCUGGCGGCAUGCUUUACGCAUGCAAGUCGAACGGCAGCGCGGGGGCAACCCUGGCGGCGAGUGGCGAACGGGUGAGUAAUAUAUCGGAACGUACCCAAGAGUUGGGGAUAACGUAGCGAAAGUUACGCUAAUACCGCAUACGAUCUAUGGAUGAAAGCAGGGGAUCGCAAGACCUUGUGCUCCUGGAGCGGC
This 200-nucleotide ribosomal RNA is filed under the name uncultured bacterium. RNAcentral describes it as "partial 16S ribosomal RNA". It matches the Rfam family "Bacterial small subunit ribosomal RNA", at positions 30 to 230 of the family's 1533-position model. The record is from RNAcentral.